GAUGAAGAACGUAGUGAAAUGCGAUAAGUAAUGUGAAUUGCAGAAUUCAGUGAAUCAUCGAAUCUUUGAACGCACAUUGCGCCCGCCAGUAUUCUGGCGGGCAUGCCUGUUCGAGCGUCAUUUCAACCCUCAGGCCCCCAGUGCCUGGUGUUGGGGAUCGGCAUCAGGGCGUCCGCGCAAGCGGUCUCCCCGCCGGCCCCGAAAUCUAGUGGCGGUCUCGCUGUAGUCCUCCUCUGCGUAGUAGCACAACCUCGCAGCUGGAACUUGGCGGUGGCCCUGCCGUUAAACACCCCACUUCUGAACGUUUGACCUCGGAUCAGGUAGGAAUACCCGCUGAACUUAAGCAUAUCAAUAAGCGGAGGA
This 363-nucleotide unclassified non-coding RNA is filed under the name soil metagenome. Its description in RNAcentral is "partial contains 5.8S ribosomal RNA, internal transcribed spacer 2, and large subunit ribosomal RNA". The stretch from base 1 to 120 matches the Rfam family "5.8S ribosomal RNA", at positions 35 to 154 of the family's 154-position model. The record is from RNAcentral.